Molecule: long non-coding RNA, 388 nt
Organism: Puntigrus tetrazona (Sumatra barb)
Lineage: Eukaryota; Metazoa; Chordata; Actinopteri; Cypriniformes; Cyprinidae
Exons: 3
Source: RefSeq, a predicted model, not a curated record
CUCUGCUGUAUAUAUGGAGACCCUUCAUGUUGUGUGCUUUUCAUUAUUGUGCAUGCAGUUAUAAUUCAGGCAUACGCUAAGCAGAAGUUUCAGGACCGUUCAAAGGAUUAGGCGUUCUUCUUUCGUGUGGUCGCAGUGUGUCACUGGAUCAAGUCUGUAUCCGGAUCAGAUGGUGGAGACAACUCUACAGAGCUGAAUGUCAGCAGAGACCAUGUCAACUAGAUGAGCCCCAAAGACAGAUCCCCAGUGAAGACCUCAUUAACUAUACAGCCAUUGACACAAAACCUCAGCAAAGACCACAAUGACAAACACCAUGUUGCUUCAUCUGGACAGGUUUUUCUCCAUUCUUGGCUUGCUUAAUUUGGGACAAUUAAUUUUUGGGUGUAUU